Molecule: ribosomal RNA, 253 nt
Filed under: uncultured bacterium
Lineage: Bacteria
Description: partial 16S ribosomal RNA
Rfam family: Bacterial small subunit ribosomal RNA
Source: RNAcentral
GACGAACCGUGCGAACGUUGUUCGGAAUCACUGGGCUUAAAGGGCGCGUAGGCGGGUGUGCAAGUCUGUGGUGAAAGCCCCCAGCUCAACUGGGGAAGUGCCGUGGAUACUGCACAUCUUGAGGAGGGUAGGGGCAUCUGGAACGGUCGGUGGAGCGGUGAAAUGCGUUGAUAUCGACCGGAACUCCGGUGGCGAAGGCGAGGUGCUGGACCCUUUCUGACGCUGAGGCGCGAAAGCCAGGGGAGCAAACGGG